CGAAACGAUGAAGCCCUUCGGGGUGGAUUAGUGGCGAACGGGUGAGUAACACGUGGGCAAUCUGCCCUGCACUCUGGGACAAGCCCUGGAAACGGGGUCUAAUACCGGAUAAUACCUUCCACCGCAUGGUGGGGGGUUGAAAGCUCCGGCGGUGCAGGAUGAGCCCGCGGCCUAUCAGCUUGUUGGUGAGGUAGUGGCUCACCAAGGCGACGACGGGUAGCCGGCCUGAGAGGGCGACCGGCCACACUGGGACUGAGACACGGCCCAGACUCCUACGGGAGGCAGCAGUGGGGAAUAUUGCACAAUGGGCGAAAGCCUGAUGCAGCGACGCCGCGUGAGGGAUGACGGCCUUCGGGUUGUAAACCUCUUUCAGCAGGGAAGAAGCGCAAGUGACGGUACCUGCAGAAGAAGCGCCGGCUAACUACGUGCCAGCAGCCGCGGUAAUACGUAGGGCGCAAGCGUUGUCCGGAAUUAUUGGGCGUAAAGAGCUCGUAGGCGGCUUGUCACGUCGGUUGUGAAAGCCCGGGGCUUAACCCCGGGUCUGCAGUCGAUACGGGCAGGCUAGAGUUCGGUAGGGGAUAUCGGAAUUCC
Molecule: ribosomal RNA, 591 nt
Filed under: Streptomyces alboflavus
Lineage: Bacteria; Bacillati; Actinomycetota; Actinomycetes; Kitasatosporales; Streptomycetaceae
Description: bacterial SSU rRNA
Rfam family: Bacterial small subunit ribosomal RNA
Source: RNAcentral